GGGUUGUGAGGUUAAGCGACUAAGCGUACACGGUGGAUGCCCUGGCAGUCAGAGGCGAUGAAGGGCGUGCUAAUCUGCGAUAAGCGCCGGUAAGGUGAUAUGAACCGUUAUAACCGGCGAUACCCGAAUGGGGAAACCCAGUGUGACUCGUCACACUAUCAUUAACUGAAUCCAUAGGUUAAUGAGGCGAACCGGGGGAACUGAAACAUCUAAGUACCCCGAGGAAAAGAAAUCAACCGAGAUUCCCCCAGUAGCGGCGAGCGAACGGGGAGGAGCCCAGAGCCUGAAUCAGCAUGUGUGUUAGUGGAAGCGUCUGGAAAGGCGCGCGAUACAGGGUGACAGCCCCGUACACAAAAGCGCAUGUGCUGUGAGCUCGAUGAGUAGGGCGGGACACGUGGUAUCCUGUCUGAAUAUGGGGGGACCAUCCUCCAAGGCUAAAUACUCCUGACUGACCGAUAGUGAACCAGUACCGUGAGGGAAAGGCGAAAAGAACCCCGGCGAGGGGAGUGAAAAAGAACCUGAAACCGUGUACGUACAAGCAGUGGGAGCCAGCCGUUAAGUUGCAGGGUAUAGACCCGAAACCCGGUGAUCUAGCCAUGGGCAGGUUGAAGGUUGGGUAACACUAACUGGAGGACCGAACCGACUAAUGUUGAAAAAUUAGCGGAUGACCUGUGGCUGGGGGUGAAAGGCCAAUCAAACCGGGAGAUAGCUGGUUCUCCCCGAAAGCUAUUUAGGUAGCGCCUCGUGAAUUCAUCUCCGGGGGUAGAGCACUGUUUCGGCUAGGGGGCCAUCCCGGCUUACCAACCCGAUGCAAACUGCGAAUACCGGAGAAUGUUAUCACGGGAGACACACGGCGGGUGCUAACGUCCGUCGUGAAGAGGGAAACAACCCAGACCGCCAGCUAAGGUCCCAAAGUCAUGGUUAAGUGGGAAACGAUGUGGGAAGGCCCAGACAGCCAGGAUGUUGGCUUAGAAGCAGCCAUCAUUUAAAGAAAGCGUAAUAGCUCACUGGUCGAGUCGGCCUGCGCGGAAGAUGUAACGGGGCUAAACCAUGCACCGAAGCUGCGGCAGCGAGAUGCUGGAGGUAUCAGAAGUGCGAAUGCUGACAUAAGUAACGAUAAAGCGGGUGAAAAGCCCGCUCGCCGGAAGACCAAGGGUUCCUGUCCAACGUUAAUCGGGGCAGGGUGAGUCGACCCCUAAGGCGAGGCCGAAAGGCGUAGUCGAUGGGAAACGGGUUAAUAUUCCCGUACUUGGUGUUACUGCGAAGGGGGGACGGAGAAGGCUAUGUUGGCCGGGCGACGGUUGUCCCGGUUUAAGCGUGUAGGUGUGUGUUCCAGGUAAAUCCGGUUCACUUUAACACUGAGGCGUGACGGAGCUGAAGUCAGUCGAAGAUACCAGCUGGCUGCAACUGUUUAUUAAAAACACAGCACUGUGCAAACACGAAAGUGGACGUAUACGGUGUGACGCCUGCCCGGUGCCGGAAGGUUAAUUGAUGGGGUCAGCGCAAGCGAAGCUCCUGAUCGAAGCCCCGGUAAACGGCGGCCGUAACUAUAACGGUCCUAAGGUAGCGAAAUUCCUUGUCGGGUAAGUUCCGACCUGCACGAAUGGCGUAAUGAUGGCCAGGCUGUCUCCACCCGAGACUCAGUGAAAUUGAACUCGCUGUGAAGAUGCAGUGUACCCGCGGCAAGACGGAAAGACCCCGUGAACCUUUACUAUAGCUUGACACUGAACAUUGAGCCUUGAUGUGUAGGAUAGGUGGGAGGCUUUGAAGUGUGGACGCCAGUCUGCAUGGAGCCGACCUUGAAAUACCACCCUUUAAUGUUUGAUGUUCUAACGUGGACCCGUUACCCGGGUUGCGGACAGUGUCUGGUGGGUAGUUUGACUGGGGCGGUCUCCUCCUAAAGAGUAACGGAGGAGCACGAAGGUUGGCUAAUCCUGGUCGGACAUCAGGAGGUUAGUGCAAUGGCAUAAGCCAGCUUGACUGCGAGCGUGACGGCGCGAGCAGGUGCGAAAGCAGGUCAUAGUGAUCCGGUGGUUCUGAAUGGAAGGGCCAUCGCUCAACGGAUAAAAGGUACUCCGGGGAUAACAGGCUGAUACCGCCCAAGAGUUCAUAUCGACGGCGGUGUUUGGCACCUCGAUGUCGGCUCAUCACAUCCUGGGGCUGAAGUAGGUCCCAAGGGUAUGGCUGUUCGCCAUUUAAAGUGGUACGCGAGCUGGGUUUAGAACGUCGUGAGACAGUUCGGUCCCUAUCUGCCGUGGGCGCUGGAGAACUGAGGGGGGCUGCUCCUAGUACGAGAGGACCGGAGUGGACGCAUCACUGGUGUUCGGGUUGUCAUGCCAAUGGCACUGCCCGGUAGCUAAAUGCGGAAGAGAUAAGUGCUGAAAGCAUCUAAGCACGAAACUUGCCCCGAGAUGAGUUCUCCCUGAGACUUAGAGUCUCCUGAAGGAACGUUGAAGACGACGACGUUGAUAGGCCGGGUGUGUAAGCGCAGCGAUGCGUUGAGCUAACCGGUACUAAUGAACCGUGAGGCUUAACCUUACAACGCCGAAG
RNAcentral lists this ribosomal RNA (2550 nucleotides) under Salmonella enterica subsp. enterica. RNAcentral describes it as "bacterial LSU rRNA". It matches the Rfam family "Bacterial large subunit ribosomal RNA". The record is from RNAcentral. Lineage: Bacteria; Pseudomonadati; Pseudomonadota; Gammaproteobacteria; Enterobacterales; Enterobacteriaceae.